UGUGGAAAAGGUCAAGGAGUCUGACUACUUUCCGAAGGCACUGAAUUUGCAAUAUCAUCACACUUACAUCUACAUUUCCUGAGCGGAUCAAAUAUACAGCUGGUUUUAUAGAAGCAAAGAGUUUCCAUGCCAGGGCCCUCCCCCCAACGGAUCACAACAAAAAGUGAAAGUAAAACUGACUGCCAUGAAAACACAGCGCAAGCCUGCUAUCCUUGGGUCCCUCAAUCUUUACUUAUGUUAAGGAUAUUUUCUGUGUAUUUAUGGAUGUAUUCAUUGAAAUGCGUUUUACUGUGGAAUAUGAUCUUCUCACUGCAUUGAAGUGGUGACACUCCUCUUCUCAGUCGCGACACUCCCUGGCCAGAGGCCCACACUGCAGCCCUAGGAAAAGUCACGUGAUUUACAAGAAAUCGGACCUGCAGCUCAGAGCAGCAGUCACAGCCUGCUGCAGACAACAACAACUGUAGAUGUCUGAGCUUGUCCACUGAGAUUGUUUUAUAGCAGCAUCCUGUUUGACGAUUGUAUUUUAUUACUCUCAGUUCAACCUUCGAUUCAUCAAGUCAGAGGGAGAGUGAAGAAAAGUUCAAGGUUGUAAUUUGGAUACCUUGUAUAAUAUUUUGCUUAUACAAAAAUAGUUUAUUUGUGGUUUUGUCUUUCACUGCUCCUACUGUAAACUCUUCAUUCUGGUUUCUGCACGUGAUUUUGAUGUUUCAACACUUAAGCAUGUGAGACCAAAGACUGUAGGUGAUUGUAGGAAUUUCUGGGUUGAAAUUGCCCUCUGCAGAGCUAGAGUUAUUUUGGUUGUUUAGCAAAGUGUAUAUGCAACAUUGGCUAAUGUGUCAAAUAAAAAAACGAAAUAUCACA
This is a long non-coding RNA of Oncorhynchus nerka (sockeye salmon), 861 nucleotides long. RefSeq lists it as uncharacterized. Lineage: Eukaryota; Metazoa; Chordata; Actinopteri; Salmoniformes; Salmonidae. The record is from RefSeq and is a predicted model, not a curated record. The transcript is spliced from 2 exons.